This 460-nucleotide ribosomal RNA is filed under the name uncultured bacterium. RNAcentral describes it as "partial 16S ribosomal RNA". It matches the Rfam family "Bacterial small subunit ribosomal RNA", at positions 338 to 795 of the family's 1533-position model. The record is from RNAcentral.
CCUACGGGCGGCAGCAGUGAGGAAUAUUGGUCAAUGGACGAGAGUCUGAACCAGCCAAGUAGCGUGAAGGAUGACUGCCCUAUGGUUUGUAAACUUCUUUUAUAUGGGAAUAAAGGUUUCCACGUGUGGGUUUUUGUAUGUACCAUAUGAAUAAGGAUCGGCUAACUCCGUGCCAGCAGCCGCGGUAAUACGGAGGAUCCGAGCGUUAUCCGGAUUUAUUGGGUUUAAAGGGAGCGUAGGUUGAUUUUUAAGUCAGUUGUGAAAGUUUGCGGCUCAACCAUAAAAUUGCCGUUGAAACUGGAAGUCUUGAUUGUAGUUGAGGUAGGCGGAAUGCGUGGUGUAGCGGUGAAAUGCAUAGAUAUCACGAAGAACUCCGAUUGCGAAGGCAGCUCACUAGACCACAACUGACACUGAGGCACGAAAGUGUGGGUAUCAAACAGGAUUAGAUACCCCAGUAGUC